Molecule: ribosomal RNA, 517 nt
Filed under: uncultured Actinomycetes bacterium
Lineage: Bacteria; Bacillati; Actinomycetota; Actinomycetes
Description: bacterial SSU rRNA
Rfam family: Bacterial small subunit ribosomal RNA
Source: RNAcentral
CAAUGGGCGCAAGCCUGAUGCAGCGACGCCGCGUGGGGGAUGACGGCCUUCGGGUUGUAAACCUCUUUCAAUAGGGACGAAGCGCAAGUGACGGUACCUAUAGAAGAAGCACCGGCCAACUACGUGCCAGCAGCCGCGGUAAUACGUAGGGUGCGAGCGUUGUCCGGAAUUACUGGGCGUAAAGAGCUCGUAGGUGGUUUGUCACGUUGUCCGUGAAAACUCACAGCUUAACUGUGGGCGUGCGGGCGAUACGGGCAGACUGGAGUACUGCAGGGGAGACUGGAAUUCCUGGUGUAGCGGUGGAAUGCGCAGAUAUCAGGAGGAACACCGGUGGCGAAGGCGGGUCUCUGGGCAGUAACUGACGCUGAGGAGCGAAAGCGUGGGGAGCGAACAGGAUUAGAUACCCUGGUAGUCCACGCUGUAAACGGUGGGUACUAGGUGUGGGUUUCCUUCCUUGGGAUCCGUGCCGUAGCUAACGCAUUAAGUACCCCGCCUGGGGAGUACGGCCGCAAGGCUA